This 758-nucleotide long non-coding RNA is filed under the name Leguminivora glycinivorella. Its description in RNAcentral is "uncharacterized LOC125236271". The record is from RNAcentral. Lineage: Eukaryota; Metazoa; Arthropoda; Insecta; Lepidoptera; Tortricidae.
GGCUAUGCCUCAAUUGAUAAAGUGAACUAAUUGCCUACUUCAAAAGCAGUUUUGCAUGAAAGUCAACAUCUAAUUGGAAUUUACAAUGCCCGAUAUUUCUACACAUCUGCCACAAAUUUUAUGGAAAACAAUAUUUAUAGAAACUGAACAUACCUUGGUUAAACGUAUAUGAAAUGGGUAACCAUCCUUGAAGAACAUCAACCAGCUGUCGGCAAUGUGCAGGUGGACUGAGGAAUUUUCCGGUGUGUCCUUUAUGGACUGUACUCCGUCUUAGCACUAUCCUCAAGUUUUACCCGAAAGGCCAUGCUUCAGGUUGGACCGUCUUCCAUAUAUCUACUGACUUCAUAUAAAUGAAAGUGUACUGAGGACUCACUAAUCUGCACUACCAGUAACAAAGUAAUCCGACAAUCAGACUGGACCCGGUCAUGUUAGGUACCAAAGGAAAACGAAAAUAUCAUUGGUUCUAUACUGAUGCAUGACUUCGCUCGGAACGCGGCAAGAAUUAACAAUGGAAGAAAAUACUACAGACGUGUUUAUUAACGAUAAAGUUAUUUUUGUUUUUAUGAAAUAGCGAUUGAAUAAAAAUAUUAGGUAUAUGAGUUUUAUUUAGAGAUGAAAUAAGUCAAGAAAUACAGCACACCCACUCGUUUUCACAACAACAAAUGUAGCCUGGUAAGGCUAAUAAAAUAAGGUUAUUAAAAUUCUGGUUACUUGGCACCAAAAGUAACCUUGCAACGGCUACUUCCUAUUAUUUAUUU